CAUCAGUUCUUCUACUGGACCAUUGAAUCAUGUAAUUUCUGUCAGGGGUGAAAGAUGAGAGGCUAGCGAAGCGGGAUGGCAGAGCUCACUGGUUUCACAAGCAUUCAGCCACCUUGAGCCCCGGAGGAUCCAAACAACUAAAUAACUACAACACACCGUAAAAAUAGCUGAAAUAGAAAAGCAGGAAUUUCCAACUGCGCCAAUAUGGCUUAAGACAAAUGCACCCAAAGCUAUACAUCCUGCCUCGAGGAUUAGCCGGACUUACGCUGUGGAAUGCUUACCAGAGACAAUGCAUGAUCCAUCUGUCUGCGGAGAAAGUCGUCACCUUUCCCUGAACUAAUCUCACAUGGCUGCAACAACAAGUCUCAGUUCACCUGUUGAUGGAAGGCUGGAGGCAGAUUUUACCCCUGAGUCGAACAUCAUCUUCGCUCUAUUCACCGAGGACCAGCAAAGGAGAUUUCACAUGGUGCAUCCAGCCCCUAAGGCAUAAUUUCAGAGAAGCCAUGAAGUUUUUUUUUUUUUUUUUUUAACUGAGUGAUAUACUGUUAUGUGCAUCUGUAUUCUUGUUUGGUUUGACUUCUCUUGUCCUCUGAAUCCAAAAAG
This is a long non-coding RNA of Oreochromis niloticus (Nile tilapia), 603 nucleotides long. RefSeq lists it as uncharacterized. Lineage: Eukaryota; Metazoa; Chordata; Actinopteri; Cichliformes; Cichlidae. The transcript is spliced from 3 exons. The record is from RefSeq and is a predicted model, not a curated record.